This 433-nucleotide ribosomal RNA is filed under the name uncultured bacterium. RNAcentral's name for it is "partial 16S ribosomal RNA". It matches the Rfam family "Bacterial small subunit ribosomal RNA", at positions 29 to 507 of the family's 1533-position model. The record is from RNAcentral.
AACGAACGCUGGCGGCAUGCCUAACACAUGCAAGUCGAACGAGACCUUCGGGUCUAGUGGCGCACGGGUGCGUAACGCGUGGGAACCUGCCCUUAGGUUCGGAAUAACUCCCCGAAAGGGGUGCUAAUACCGGUUAAUGUCUUCGGACCAAAGAUUUAUCGCCUUUGGAUGGGCCCGCGUUGGAUUAGCUGGUUGGUAGGGUAAAAGCCUACCAAGGCGACGAUCCAUAGCUGGUCUGGGAGGAGGAUCAGCCACACUGGGACUGAGACACGGCCCAGACUCCUACGGGAGGCAGCAGUGGGGAAUAUUGGACAAUGGGCGAAAGCCUGAUCCAGCAAUGCCGCGUGAGUGAUGAAGGCCUUAGGGUUGUAAAGCUCUUUUACCCGGGAUGAUAAUGACAGUACCGGGAGAAUAAGCGCCGGCUAACUCCGUG